AAUCAACGCUGGCGGCGUGCCUAACACAUGCAAGUCGAGCGAGAAAAGGGGAGCAAUCCUCUGAGUAAAGCGGCGCACGGGUGAGUAACACGUGGGUAAUCUGCCCUGAAGUGGGGAAUAACACCGGGAAACCGGUGCUAAUACCGCAUAUGAUCACGGUGUCUGCGGACACAGGGAUGAAAGGAGCAAAUUCGCUUCAGGAGGAGCCCGCGGCUGAUUAGCUAGUUGGUGAGGUAAUGGCUCACCAAGGCUACGAUCAGUAUCCGGUCUGAGAGGACGGUCGGACACACUGGGAACUGAGACACGGUCCAGACUCCUACGGGAGGCAG
This 329-nucleotide ribosomal RNA is filed under the name uncultured Acidobacteriota bacterium. Its description in RNAcentral is "bacterial SSU rRNA". It matches the Rfam family "Bacterial small subunit ribosomal RNA", at positions 32 to 351 of the family's 1533-position model. Lineage: Bacteria; Pseudomonadati; Acidobacteriota. The record is from RNAcentral.